This 72-nucleotide transfer RNA is filed under the name Ictidomys tridecemlineatus (thirteen-lined ground squirrel). RNAcentral's name for it is "Spermophilus tridecemlineatus (thirteen-lined ground squirrel) tRNA". It matches the Rfam family "tRNA". From Rfam's summary of the family: Transfer RNA (tRNA) molecules are approximately 80 nucleotides in length. The record is from Rfam by way of RNAcentral. Lineage: Eukaryota; Metazoa; Chordata; Mammalia; Rodentia; Sciuridae.
GGGAGUAUAGCUCAAUGAAAGAGGACUUGCCUAACAUGCAGGAGGUCUUGGGCUUCAUUCCCACCACCCCCU